CCUACGGGUGGCAGCAGUGGGGAAUAUUGCACAAUGGGGGAAACCCUGAUGCAGCGACGCCGCGUGAGCGAUGAAGUAUUUCGGUAUGUAAAGCUCUAUCAGCAGGGAAGAAAAUGACGGUACCUGACUAAGAAGCCCCGGCUAACUACGUGCCAGCAGCCGCGGUAAUACGUAGGGGGCAAGCGUUAUCCGGAUUUACUGGGUGUAAAGGGAGCGUAGACGGCGGUGCAAGCCAGAUGUGAAAGCCCGGGGCUCAACCCCGGGACUGCAUUUGGAACUGUGCUGCUAGAGUGUCGGAGAGGCAGGCGGAAUUCCUAGUGUAGCGGUGAAAUGCAUAGAUAUCACGCAGAACCCCGAUUGCGAAGGCAGCAUACCGGCGCCCUACUGACGCUGAGGCACGAAAGUGCGGGUAUCGAACAGGAUUAGAUACCCUAGUAGUC
RNAcentral lists this ribosomal RNA (440 nucleotides) under uncultured bacterium. RNAcentral's name for it is "partial 16S ribosomal RNA". It matches the Rfam family "Bacterial small subunit ribosomal RNA", at positions 338 to 795 of the family's 1533-position model. The record is from RNAcentral.